AGCUCAGUCGGUAGAGCAGUGGACUGAAAAUCCACGUGUCGGCAGUUCAAUUCUGCCC
This 58-nucleotide transfer RNA is filed under the name Veillonellaceae bacterium. Its description in RNAcentral is "tRNA-Phe". It matches the Rfam family "tRNA", at positions 9 to 64 of the family's 71-position model. Rfam says of the family: Transfer RNA (tRNA) molecules are approximately 80 nucleotides in length. Their secondary structure includes four short double-helical elements and three loops (D, anti-codon, and T loops). Further hydrogen bonds mediate the characteristic L-shaped molecular structure. tRNAs have two regions of fundamental functional importance: the anti-codon, which is responsible for specific mRNA codon recognition, and the 3' end, to which the tRNAs corresponding amino acid is attached (by aminoacyl-tRNA synthetases). tRNAs cope with the degeneracy of the genetic code in two manners: having more than one tRNA (with a specific anti-codon) for a particular amino acid; and 'wobble' base-pairing, i.e. permitting non-standard base-pairing at the 3rd anti-codon position. The record is from RNAcentral. Lineage: Bacteria; Bacillati; Bacillota; Negativicutes; Veillonellales; Veillonellaceae.